CAUGACAUUCUUUGCGUCCAGAAACUAAAAGGCUCAAUGGCCCAGAAACAAACAAGAAGGGAAAUUCAAAGAUCCUUGAGGAUAUCAUCGGCACUGGACACAGUGAAUUCUCCACCCCCUUCAAUAUUUGCAGCUUUCACCUUAAGGUCAUCAACCAAGAGAGCAAACCUCCUAGAACGUGUGCCAAGCCCUUUCUCUUGCAGGUCAAGCUCAAGGCCGAGAGCAUGGGUGUACGUUGCAGACCCAUCAGCUAAGAAUUUGACAUGCUUAUUCUCAGGGUAAGAUUUGGCCCAUGCCUUCAUCACAAAGGGGUCGUUGACUACAAAUGAAUAAGAAACCAAAACUCAAAAAACACGGAAACCAAUCACUUUCUUUUAUUCUUUUAGUUUUCUAAACCUGUAAUUAGUCUGAAUUCCAACAGAAUAUAACAGAUCCAGCUGAUAAGUUACAUACAUAUUAUUUACGCCAACCAAAACUAGAGAUGCAGACUUAAGAACAAUGCGAGUUGAAGUAAGGCCGCACACAUUUUAGUUUUUCCUCCAACACGAAUACCAGUAGCAGAUUAGGUGUUUCGGACAGAUUCCCAAAUUAGAAAAAAACAGAACCAGCAUUUCGAGCAGCUUUGCUCUUCCUUCCAAUUUCAAUUAGAACAACUGGUCGACUUAGAUACAAAAACUUAACCCAGAUUACAUUAAUUCGCAACAAAUGGUGAAACCCUAGUUGCUGUACAGAUUUUUAAUCAAAAUGACUCAAAAAUAAGAAAAUCAAAUUAAUUAAAAAAAUAGAUCCCCAAAUGGAAAUGACGACGUACCGCU
RNAcentral lists this long non-coding RNA (815 nucleotides) under Populus trichocarpa (black cottonwood). Its description in RNAcentral is "long non-coding RNA (PTRI_LNC004029)". The record is from RNAcentral. Lineage: Eukaryota; Viridiplantae; Streptophyta; Magnoliopsida; Malpighiales; Salicaceae.